RNAcentral lists this long non-coding RNA (1062 nucleotides) under Vulpes vulpes (red fox). RNAcentral describes it as "lncRNA (ENSVVUG00000030055.1)". Lineage: Eukaryota; Metazoa; Chordata; Mammalia; Carnivora; Canidae. The record is from RNAcentral.
CUUAUCCUGUUACAUAAUUAUCAAAUAAAACAGUAAUUCCAGAAUAAGUAAUAGCAGUCACACAGAGUACUGCAUGGUUAGACAUUUUCCUCUUGGUUGGAAGACAUUAGGGUAUAAUAUCUAACAAAGAAUUUCUCUGAAUAUCUAAGCAGUGAACUAAUAACCAGAGCGGUGUCUGAAAACCAGUCCGCAGCCAGUCGAGAGGGCCUUGCUCUCGUGAUCUUGCAUGCUUCACAGUUCCACGAAAAAAACCCAGAACUGUCAGUCGAAAGACAGUUUUAAGAUGGUGUUUUUGCUCUAAUCUUUUGGUUUGGGGAGGCUUCCUUUAUAAAAUCCAAAGUCCUUAAGAGAGUGAAUUUGGCACUGCGCCAAAGGCUUCUCUGGCUUCUCAGGCAAGGAUCCGGGUGUUCUUUUUCUUCCAGCGCUGUGAUGGGCACACUAGGAGCAGCUCCUUGCUGAGCCCUGGGGCUCCUGCAGAUGAGGACAGCAGGGGACCAGGCAGAUGGCCAAGACGACAGUGAGGAGAGCAGAGCCCACAGCCGGCUGCGGUGGACAGUCUGCCGCAGAGGGCAGGCAGACGCAGGGGUCAGCUCAGGGGUCAGCUCUGAGCCCCCGGGGUGCUCCCAGAGGCCUUCCUUCCGGAUUAGUGCCACUGUCCUUCAGGCUGAGCAAAAUGGAUCGUUUCAGUGUCACUCCCCAGUCAGUCAAUUCCCAUCAGGAUCUGGAGGUGCCGAGGAGGCGGGCCGUCAGCCGGGACUCACUUUGCAGCACAUAAUGCCCAGGUCCUGCGAGGAAGGAGUGGGAAGGAGCAGGAAAUUGGACUUAAGUCGCCUCCAGAUCAACACAGAGUUCAAUCCUGGGAAGAAGAACAGUGACUACCAUGGCAGUAGAAAAUACACUAUCUUUGCAGAAUCAAAGACUGGCUAUGCUUUAGUAUUUACCUGCACUGUGAGAAUUCUGUGAUCAAAGCCUGGACAAGAUGGACAAGGUCUUGAAAAGGAGAAUCUCCAUUGUUUCUCAUGGACUACCACCCAACUGUAGUCUAGGUGACUUCUCUUCAAC